CAAAGAAUAGUUUAGUUUAGAAUCCUAGCUUUGGGAGCUAGGGGUUGGGGUUAGAGCCCCCAUUCUUUGA
This 70-nucleotide transfer RNA is filed under the name Aplocheilus panchax (blue panchax). RNAcentral's name for it is "tRNA-Pro". It matches the Rfam family "tRNA". Rfam says of the family: Transfer RNA (tRNA) molecules are approximately 80 nucleotides in length. The record is from RNAcentral. Lineage: Eukaryota; Metazoa; Chordata; Actinopteri; Cyprinodontiformes; Aplocheilidae.